Chelonoidis abingdonii (Abingdon island giant tortoise) is the source of this 1060-nucleotide non-coding RNA. The record is from RefSeq and is a predicted model, not a curated record. Lineage: Eukaryota; Metazoa; Chordata; Testudines; Testudinidae.
CUUGCUUGGCCAGAUUUUUCACAGUAUAACUAUGCGGUUUUAAAUAAAAUAUUGUUGCCUACAUAUUCUGUCCAAUAAAAAAGCCAGAUAUUUAAAUUCACUCCCAUAGACAACUGAGUCAUUUGAUACAAAGAGCAAAUUAAUAGUUUUUUGAAGCGGAUGUUUCUAACCCCUUUAUCUCUGCUUCUGCUUAAUUUCUACUGAUAUUGUACAGGCUACGAGGGAGGAUAUAUGGAAUUGGAAGACGAUAAAUCUAAAAAUAUCUGAGAGAAAAUUGAGUUGAUGUCUGUGUGUACUGGGAUUAUGACAGAAGAACAUGUUUCUGUACAUUCAUUCAGUGAAUAGGAGUCUCUUCCCACUGUUACAUCAGCUUCACCAGGUCUUUUCCUCAUAUUGAUUUCUUCUGCCAGUUUGCUUGUAGUGCCACCCACCUCACCCCCAAAAUUUGGAAAACUGUCAUAUUACUUAAGGCAUUUCUCAUUGUGAUGUUGUACACGUGUCUUGUUCAUUUGACAGUGCUUGCACAGUCCUGUACAUUGUAUCAAGAAUAGAAGCAAUAGGUAAUUUUGGUAAAGCUCAAAUAUAUUUUGAAGUAUGUUAUAGAGCAUUUCGUAACGUAUAAGGUUACAAAAGAAUAACUUAAAUAUUUUACAUUCUUAUGUCUUUGAACAUGGUAAUAUAUGUUAAGUGAAAUACCAUUUGCCUCUGGAUGUUUAAACUGCAAAGAUUUAAACUGAGAUAGCUGAGAGAGGUUUUUGUCUGCCGUACCCAUUUGUUGGUUUGUUUGGUGGAAGGACUAUUAUAUAGUAAAUAGUAAAUCAUUUAGCAUUGUAUAAGAUUAUGCUUGCAAAAUUGAAAUGUUACUUCCAAGUUUCCUUUAGUACCAAAAGGUAAAAUAACAAAAACACCGAAUUUAGAGUAAACUCACAACCCCCUGACCUACAUUGUGAGCCUUGCAGUAACUGAGCACAGGAAUAACAACAACAAAAAAGUCUCUUCCUAAUCUUCAUGAUAGCUACACUGAAAUUAAGAACUCUAAACAUUGUCGAGCUUUGGUGAU